CAACAAUUUACAACACCAAAGGAGAUUGCAACCAAAACUGGGAAUGCAAGGGUGAGAUCAGGGUGCACCUGUCACAAGAUUUUAGGCACCUGUGUGGGGAUAAAAGGGCUCACAGUGAAUCAUUAAUUACAUAAUUCAAUUUUGGACAGCUGGAGGGGGUUAGCAGCCCAUGAAUGCCUCUGCUUCAACUUAUUAGCCUUUCUUUAUUUCUCUUUACAAAACAGAGUUAUUUUCCAGCGAUGUAACUACUAGCAGUAUGGCAGCAUCUGGAAUUUGAGAUCAAGGUGUGAUCAGAGCUCUCCUAGAGGCUGGCAGCUCUACACCCCUGUUCAUUGCUGAUGUUGUGAUCUUGACAGAGGCAAGCCAUAGUGCUCUGCUGGUAGCAUCAUACAGCAGUUCCCACCAGCCCAGCCAGCACACGCUGACACUGUAGGACAGCCUGGCUUUUUGGAACCAAAGAUGAGAGAAUUUAGUGGCCGUUUCUGCUACAAACCUGCAGCAUGACAGGAGUAUGAGAUGGAAACUGCAGGAGUGCCCUUGCAACAUGGCAUUGGUUGCCACUUUCCUCAGACCUGUGUCCCUGCUCUUACUGCCUUACCAGCUGAUCAUUCCAUGAAUCAGCCCAAGGGAAUAAAAGACUGGUUUCUGGAAGGAAGAGUUACAGAAGACAACUGAUGAUGAAUCACCAAAGCAAGGAGGUCUUUCUGCAUGCAUAGAUGAUCAGAUCUGUUUUGGAGCUGAG
RNAcentral lists this long non-coding RNA (742 nucleotides) under Gallus gallus (chicken). RNAcentral describes it as "lncRNA (ENSGALG00010013806.1)". The record is from RNAcentral. Lineage: Eukaryota; Metazoa; Chordata; Aves; Galliformes; Phasianidae.